This is an RNA transcript of Jaculus jaculus (lesser Egyptian jerboa), 2458 nucleotides long. RefSeq lists it as uncharacterized. The record is from RefSeq and is a predicted model, not a curated record. The transcript is spliced from 10 exons. Lineage: Eukaryota; Metazoa; Chordata; Mammalia; Rodentia; Dipodidae.
GCUGCCCUCCCCCCCGUGUCUCCCCCACCCCAUCCCGCGAGCCCUGGAGACCCCGGCCGGCGCAGCCCCGCUAACUCCUUGCGUGUGUCUUGCUUUUCAGACAUCCCCCUGGACUUUGUGGACUUGCAGGAUGACUUAGGCGACCCUCCGUGUGUCGCAGCUGCGUGCCGCCUCGGCUGGUCUGGAGCAAGCUAAAUGUCCUGCCUGCGCUGACACCGCUGGUGGCCCAGGACUGAGAGUGCACCACGCCUUGGGAGACCGGUCCUCUGGGCGCGGACGUUUGUCACGUGUCCGCUGUGCUGCAGGCAUUAGCCUACAUGGCCCUCUUGCUGAACGCCCUCCCAAGCCUUGCUGUGGAGCAGAGGCAGCCUGCACAGGGCUCCUGUUUUGACCCUUUGAGAUGGAUUUGGAGACUGUGGUCCAGAUUGCAAUAGCAGGAGGGUAACUGCCUUCGUGGACAUUCCGGGCCAGGAUAACCUGCCGCCGCUCAGCCGCCUGGAGAAGUUUGCAUUCAGCGAGAGCAUCCUCACUCGCCACCACGAGUACACAUAACUAAGGCCUGACGCUGCCACCUGGACUGUCUGCACUUGGACCGCCACACGCUGGAGGCCACAGAGCGCCGUAUAGCUGAAGUCGUACAGCCUUGCACUGCGAGCCUACCUGCCUUUAUUGUGUGACAUCGCAACGUGACGUUGCCACGCUGGAGAACCGUGCAAGCCCACAGUGAGGGCCGAGCUGACGGAGCAGAGUCCCCCGUUGCCCUUCUGGUACGAGAAAGCAGAUCACAGUCUCCUGUGGCGUUCUCUGAGUCCCUUGUACCUGCCGUGGUACACUGCCUCACAGACCCAAACAAUCAGCCUGCAGCUCACUCCGAGGGCCGCGGUCAGAAGGAUCUUUGUGAAACGUGCAGGCCGGACACCUCGCGUCACACUACCUCUGUGGCCGUAGCCUCGGAGUCACCCUCUUGUAGCUGCUGUUGAUGGCCAUCUGUCUGCUCACUGCCGGGGCCCAUUGUGGUCUUCCUGCCUUUCUGCCACGGUGACGAGUUCCAUGCUUCAUCUCCCUUGAUAAGUUAGAAAAUCUAGCCAGGAAGCGCUCCUGAUUUUUCUGGAACAAGAUCUAAUUUCCCAGCAUGAUUUUGAAAACAAGGCUGUCUGAUUCUGCUGGAGCUGUCUGCACCUGAGUGAGGAUGAGCGUGGAGCCGAGGCCGUGAGUCUACCAAAAUUUCUUGAGCUCUGCUCAGAUGUCAUAUGGGCUGUGGAAGGCCUGUGCAGAGUGCUUCAUGGCUGUGUCCUUCAGCACCUCCACUGGGGCCCAUCGGACCUAGCUCUCUCCUCUCUUCAUCGGGCUUGUCAGUGACCCCUGCCAAUGGCUCAAGUUGAGGUUACCAGCUGCAGUGAGAGUGGCCCGGCUGGACUGUGCUGCUGAGCCUGAGCACAAGCCGACAGGAGGUCUAGAUGGAGUGUCUGCCUCAGCUCCCAGCCUGCCGCUGCCAUCAGAUGCCCCCACCAGCUUCAUCUUGGAACGCGCUCUCCUCUGCGACCAGGAUAUUACAGAGCACGCAUAUUUUAGAAAUGCUGGGAACCCUCAUCUUGAACGAGUUGAAGAGCCUGUCGGCUUUGCAGUCGGACCGGGACCAAGACGUUGCCUUUUUUGCCACCAAAGAGCCAAAGCAGCAGGAUGUCCUUGGCGCCACUGUCCUGAAGAAGCAGAGCUGACUUCCCCAAGAUGCCACUUGAAGGGGACUCACUUCACCAUAACCCGCAGAGGAAUUUUGAAACUUUCACGUCAGACCCUCAAGUCACCAUCUACCUGUCUGAAGCCCAGGCCACUGAGACCAGCAGAGGCUUCUUUUAGGUGGCCGAGCUGAUGCCGCUUUCCCUCCGAGCCUGCUCUGGAACAGUCCUGUAGGGAGGCUGGGGUGCAGGUUGCAACCAGCAGUCUGUCUUCUUUAGGAGACACUGCAUUGUCUAAAGUGCCCCUCGGAGCCAGACAUGGUAGCACUCGUCUGUAAUUCCAGCACUCAGGAUGCUGAGGCAGGAGGAUUGUGAGUUCAAGGCCAGCCUGGGCUACAUAGAGAAUUCCAGGCAUGCUGAACUACAUAAUAAGACCCUGUUUCAAAAAACAAAAACAAAAACCUCAUAAAAUAUAAGUAAAUAACGCCUCCCUUGCCAAUAAAGUGUCCACGAGAAGCUUGUAAGCCUUUAAUAGACCCACUUCCCUCAGGCUUUCCUACAUAGUAUAGUGUAAGAUGAUGUUUUAUUCUCAACUGAAGGAUUGUACAUAUGCAAAUAAAAUGAUGGGAAGAAAAUAUAGUACUGUAAUAUUGGCCUCCUGUCAGUGAGUUGAACAAAUGUCAUUUAAAUUUAUAUCCCACUUUAGAGUUGCUGUGAAUAUGAUCUGAUCUGUUUUCUUGUGAAAACUGUAAAACAAACCCAGUAAAGAGUGAUUUAUACCA